RNAcentral lists this ribosomal RNA (483 nucleotides) under Peptostreptococcus stomatis. RNAcentral describes it as "bacterial SSU rRNA". It matches the Rfam family "Bacterial small subunit ribosomal RNA", at positions 28 to 497 of the family's 1533-position model. Lineage: Bacteria; Bacillati; Bacillota; Clostridia; Peptostreptococcales; Peptostreptococcaceae. The record is from RNAcentral.
GAUGAACGCUGGCGGCGUGCCUAACACAUGCAAGUCGAGCGAGGGUUUGCUCAGUAUUGAGUAUUCUAAGACUAGAAUGUUCAAUUCUGAGCAAAACCAAGCGGCGGACGGGUGAGUAACGCGUGGGUAACCUGCCCUAUACACAUGGAUAACAUACUGAAAAGUUUACUAAUACAUGAUAAUAUAUAUUUGCGGCAUCGCAGAUAUAUCAAAGUGUUAGCGGUAUAGGAUGGACCCGCGUCUGAUUAGCUAGUUGGUGAGAUAACUGCCCACCAAGGCGACGAUCAGUAGCCGACCUGAGAGGGUGAUCGGCCACAUUGGAACUGAGACACGGUCCAAACUCCUACGGGAGGCAGCAGUGGGGAAUAUUGCACAAUGGGCGAAAGCCUGAUGCAGCAACGCCGCGUGAACGAUGAAGGUCUUCGGAUCGUAAAGUUCUGUUGCAGGGGAAGAUAAUGACGGUACCCUGGAGGAAGCCCCGCA